CUAAGAGUGAUUACAGCUGUGAGUCUUUCUGGGUAAGUCUCUAAGAGUGAUUACAGCUGUGAGUCUUUCUGGGUAAGUCUCUAAGAGCUUUGCACACCUGGAUUGUACAAUAUUUGCCCAUUAUUCUUUAAACAAUUCUUCAAGCUCUGUCAAGUUGAUUGUUGAUCAUUAUUAGAUAACCAUAUUCAAGUCUUUCCAUAGAUCUUCAAGCCGAUUUAAGUCAAAACUGUAACUAGACCACUCAGGAAUAUUCAAUAUCUUCUUGGUAAGUAACUAAAGUGUAGAUUUGGCCUUGUUUUAGGUUAUUGUCCUUCUGAAAGGCGAAUUCAUCUCCUCAUUGUCUAUUGGAACACAGACUGAACCAGACUUUCCUCUAGGAUUUUGGCUGUGCUUAUAGCUGUCUACCGUUUAUUUUUAUCCUAAUAACUCCCUAGUCCUUGCCAAUGACAAGCAUACCCAUAACAUGAUGCAGCCACCGCCAUGCUUGAAAAUAUGAAGUGGUACUGAGUGAUGUGUUGUGUUGGAUUUGCCCCAAACAAAACGCUUUAUUCAGGACAAAAAGUUAAUUUCUUUGCCGAAAUGUUUUCAGUAUUACUUAAGUGCCUUGUUGCAAACAGGAUGCAUGUUUUGGAGUAUUUUUAUUCUGUACAGGCUUUUUUAAAUCUGUCAUUUAGGUUAGUAUUAUGGAGUAACUAUGGAGUAACUACAAUGUUUAUCCAUCCUCAGUUGUUUUCUCCUAUCACAGUCAUUACACUCUGUAACUGUUUUAAGGUCACCAUUGGCUUCAUGGUGAAAAUCCUGAGCGGUUUCCUUCCUCUCCGGCAACUGAGUUAGGAAGGACGUCUGUAUCUUUGUAGCGACUGGGUGUAUUGAUACACCAUCCAAAGCCUAAUUAUAACUUCACCUUGCUCAAAGGGAUAUUACACAUUUUACCCAUCUACCAACCGGUGCCCUUCUUUGCGAGGCAUUGAAAAAUCUCCUUGGUCUUUGUGGUUGAAUAUGUGUUUGAAAUUCACUGCUCGAUUGAGGGACCUUACAAUUAUCUGUAUGUGUUGGGGUACAGAGAUGAGGUAGUCAUUUAAAAAUCAUGUUAACCAAUAUUAUUGAACACGGAAUGAGUCCAUGCAACUUAUUAUGAGAUUUGUUAAGCACACUUUUACUCCUGAACUUAUUUAGGCUUACCAUAAAGGGGUUGAAUACUUAUUGACUCAAGACAUUUCAGCUUAAAAUGUUUUAUUAAUAAAUAAAAAAUUAGACUAACAAAAUUCCACUUUGACAUUAUGGGGUAUUGCGUGUAGAUCAGGUAUUGUGUAUUACAUUGUAAUUCAGACUGUAAACCAUUUAAAAUUCAGACUGUAAACCAUUUUAAAAUCAGACUGUAAACCAUUUUAAAAUCAGACUGUACACCAUUUUAAAAUCAGACUGUACACCAUUUUAAAAUCAGACUGUAAACCAUUUUAAAUUCAGACUGUAAACCAUUUUAAAAUCAGACUGUAAACCAUUUUAAAUUCAGUCUGUAAACCAUUUUAAAUUCAGGCUGUAACAACACAAUGUGGGAGAAGUUAAAAAGGUGUGAAUCCUUUCUGAAGGCCACUGUACAUACAACCGUUGCUAUGGGACCAAGAACAUUGCUACAGUACUGUGUUGUUUAUAGCACACUUAUUUAUACUGUAUCACACUGUAGAUAUAUGCCACUCAGAAAGCAUGCAGGACAUUAUUAAGGUCAUUACGGUAAGAUUAUAAAUUAACCAUAUGAAAUAAAGAUGAGAGGAAUAUUAAAACAGGGAUUUUACCACUGAGGAAGUCACGUGGUCUGUAUGACUAAUUUGGACUAGAUAUAUACCUUAUUCAUCACUGACUCCAUCCAAUCUACGUCCCACAUAAAGUAUUCUAUUGUGGACCCUUCAAUUUCUACCCUACUCAGUGAUAUUCUGAUAUAACAAUGUAAUAUUUAAGUCCGGAACAGACUAUCCUAAGGCUUUGUGAACUUUUGAGCGCUGUGCUUUAAUAUGCAAAAAACAGGUUACUAUACAAUACAUUGUCCUGACUGACACUGCUGUAUCCAUCACUGAUAUCCAUUCACAUCUUAAUAACUGCCAAAUACAUUACACUACAUUUUGUUUGGUCUGGAAAUGACUUUUGUAAAACUGUGUUGUCUGUCACCUUAAAAAAAAAAAAGACUUGAAAAGUGAUUAAAGAUCCAGGGUGAAUGUCGGAUGUGUUGUUGUGGUUAUAGUGAGCUGUUUGUCAAAUGGCAUCCUACUCGUCAUACUGUCUAGUGCACUACUUUUGACCAGGGCCCAUGAGCUCAGGGUCCAUAGGGUUAGGGCCCAUAGAGGUCAGGGCCCAUAGAGGUCAGGGCCCAUAGGGUUAGGGCCCAUAGAGGUCAGGGCCCAUAGGGUUAGGGCCCAUAGAAGUCAGGGCCCAUAGAGGUCAGGGCCCAUAGAGGUCAGGGCCCAUAGAGGUUAGGGCCCAUAGAGGGCAGGGCCCAUAGGGUUAGGGCCCAUAGAGGUCAGGGCCCAUAGGGUUAGGGCCCAUAGAGGUCAGGGCCCAUAGAGGUCAGGGCCCAUAGGGUUAGGGCCCAUAGAGGUCAGGGCCCAUAGAGGUCAGGGCCCAUAGGGUUAGGGCCCAUAGGGUUAGGGCCCAUAGAGGUCAGGGCCCAUAGGGUUAGGGCCCAUAGAGGUCAGGGCCCAUAGGGUUAGGGCCCAUAGAGGUCAGGGCCCAUAGAGGUCAGGGCCCAUAGGGUUAGGGCCCAUAGAGGUCAGGGCCCAUAGAGGUCAGGGCCCAUAGGGUUAGGGCCCAUAGAGCUCAGGGCCCAUAGGGUUAGGGCCCAUAGGGUUCAGGUCAAAAGUAGUGCACUACAUGGGGAAUAAGUAGGGUGCCACCUGGGGGACACAAUUCAUGUUGAAGUAGAUGGUUUCCUUCAGAGCUCUGGUCCUGUAUCUCUCCUUAGCCCGAAAAGCAACUCUGUUUUCUAUUGAAGUUUGUAAAAUAAGCGCUUUGAAAUAAAAUAACAAAUGAUAUCUCAUACUCUAGCCUGCUCUGGAAAUGUUUAAAAAUGCAAUUAUCGAUGAAUGAAAGCUUGCAUUACAUUACCCCAUUGAUUAAAGAUUAUAUUACUGAGAAUAGAUUUUUUCAUGUCAAUUGACUUCUUAACUUCGCAUGUUUCCCAAAUGGCACCCUAUUCUCUACAUAGGGCACUACUUUUGACUAGAGCACUAUGGCCCCUGGUUAAAAGUAGUGCACUUUGGGAAUAGGGUGCCAUUUGGGUUGCUGCCCAUUAAAUAAGCCUUGUGUUUUGAUUGUGUAACUGAAGGUCAGGGCUGUAGUUGAUCCCUGGACUAGUGGGUCUCAUCUUUACAAGCAUUUUGCUACACUCGCAAUAAUCAUUUGCCAACCAUUUAUAUGUGACCAAUAAAAUUUGAUUUG
Oncorhynchus tshawytscha (Chinook salmon) is the source of this 3429-nucleotide long non-coding RNA. NCBI's taxonomy places the organism in Eukaryota, Metazoa, Chordata, Actinopteri, Salmoniformes, Salmonidae. The record is from Ensembl.